RNAcentral lists this ribosomal RNA (253 nucleotides) under uncultured bacterium. RNAcentral's name for it is "partial 16S ribosomal RNA". It matches the Rfam family "Bacterial small subunit ribosomal RNA", at positions 524 to 776 of the family's 1533-position model. The record is from RNAcentral.
CACGUAGGGGGCAAGCGUUGUUCGGAAUUAUUGGGCGUAAAGGGCAUGUAGGCGGUUUCGUAAGCCUGGUGUGAAAUCCUGCAGCUUAACUGUAGAAUUGCAUUGGGUACUGCGAGACUUGAAUCACGGAGGGGAAACUAGAAUUCCAGGUGUAGGGGUGGAAUCUGUAGAUAUCUGGAAGAAUACCGGUGGCGAAGGCGGGUUUCUAGCCGAUGAUUGACGCUGAGGUGCGAAAGUGCGGGGAGCAAACAGG